UUGGAGGGCAAGUCUGGUGCCAGCAGCCGCGGUAAUCCCAGCUCCAAUAGCGUAUAUUAAAGUUGUUGCAGUUAAAAAGCUUGUAGUUGAACUUCGGGGUCUACCCAUUGGUCAGGCUUAAUUGUCUGUACUGGUGAGAUGGAUCUCUACCUUCUGAGGAACUUUCAUGCCAUUUAUUUGGUGUGAUGGGAAAUCAGGACUGUUACUUUGAAAAAAUUAGAGUGUUUAAAGCAGACUAUCGUCUGAAUACAUUAGCAUGGAAUAAUGAAAUAGGACGGACUGAUUCUAUUUCGUUGGUUUCUAGGAUCACCGUAAUGAUUAAUAGGGAUAGUUGGGGGCAUUAGUAUUCAAUUGUCAGAGGUGAAAUUCUUGGAUUUAUUGAAGACUAACUACUGCGAAAGCAUUUGCCAAGGAUGUUUUCAUUAAUCAAGAACGAAAGUUAGGGGAUCGAAGACGAUCAGAUACCGUCGUAGUCUUAACCAUAAACUAUGCCGACUAGGGAUCGGACGAAGUUAAUUUUAUAAUGACGCGUUCGGCGCCUUACGGGAAAC
RNAcentral lists this ribosomal RNA (551 nucleotides) under uncultured Glomeromycotina. Its description in RNAcentral is "SSU rRNA". It matches the Rfam family "Eukaryotic small subunit ribosomal RNA", at positions 548 to 1098 of the family's 1831-position model. Lineage: Eukaryota; Fungi; Glomeromycota. The record is from RNAcentral.